GAUGAACGCUGGCGGCGUGCCUAAUACAUGCAAGUCGAGCGAACGGACGAGAAGCUUGCUUCUCUGAUGUUAGCGGCGGACGGGUGAGUAACACGUGGAUAACCUACCUAUAAGACUGGGAUAACUUCGGGAAACCGGAGCUAAUACCGGAUGAUAUUUUGAACCGCAUGGUUCAAAAGUGAAAGACGUUCUUGCUGUCACUUAUAGAUGGAUCCGCGCUGCAUUAGCUAGUUGGUAAGGUAACGGCUUACCAAGGCAACGAUGCAUAGCCGACCUGAGAGGGUGAUCGGCCACACUGGAACUGAGACACGGUCCAGACUCCUACGGGAGGCAGCAGUAGGGAAUCUUCCGCAAUGGGCGAAAGCCUGACGCAGCAACGCCGCGUGAGUGAUGAAGGUCUUCGGAUCGUAAAACUCUGUUAUUAGGGAAGAACAUAUGUGUAAGUAACUGCGCACAUCUUGACGGUACCUAAUCAGAAAGCCACGGCUAACUACGUG
RNAcentral lists this ribosomal RNA (497 nucleotides) under uncultured bacterium. RNAcentral's name for it is "partial 16S ribosomal RNA". It matches the Rfam family "Bacterial small subunit ribosomal RNA", at positions 28 to 507 of the family's 1533-position model. The record is from RNAcentral.